AGUAGUUUGAUCCUGGCUCAGGACGAACGCUGGCGGCGUGCUUAACACAUGCAAGUCGAACGGAGCACCUUCGAAAGAGACUUCGGUCAAUGGAAAAGAAUGCUUAGUGGCGGACGGGUGAGUAACGCGUGAGGAACCUGCCUUUCAUGGGGGACAACAGUUGGAAACGACUGCUAAUACCGCAUAACGUACGGGUAUCGCAUGGUAUCUGUACCAAAGAUUUAUCGCUGAGAGAUGGCCUCGCGUCUGAUUAGCUAGUUGGUAGGGUAACGGCCUACCAAGGCGACGAUCAGUAGCCGGACUGAGAGGUUGGCCGGCCACAUUGGGACUGAGAUACGGCCCAGACUCCUACGGGAGGCAGCAGUGGGGAAUAUUGGACAAUGGGCGAAAGCCUGACCCAGCAACGCCGCGUGAAGGAAGAAGGCUUUCGGGUUGUAAACUUCUUUUGACAGGGAAGAGCAGAAGACGGUACCUGUCGAAUAAGCCACGGCUAACUACGUG
Molecule: ribosomal RNA, 501 nt
Filed under: uncultured Oscillibacter sp.
Lineage: Bacteria; Bacillati; Bacillota; Clostridia; Eubacteriales; Oscillospiraceae
Description: bacterial SSU rRNA
Rfam family: Bacterial small subunit ribosomal RNA
Source: RNAcentral